UUAAUUUGAAGUCAAAAAGACUUAAUUUUAUAGUUGAAAUCUGACUUUGGGAAGGUUGUCAAAUAUGUCAAAGAUUUAAAACACUUG
This is a long non-coding RNA of Sapajus apella (tufted capuchin), 87 nucleotides long. RefSeq lists it as uncharacterized. The transcript is spliced from 3 exons. The record is from RefSeq and is a predicted model, not a curated record. Lineage: Eukaryota; Metazoa; Chordata; Mammalia; Primates; Cebidae.